This 433-nucleotide ribosomal RNA is filed under the name uncultured bacterium. RNAcentral describes it as "partial 16S ribosomal RNA". It matches the Rfam family "Bacterial small subunit ribosomal RNA", at positions 29 to 507 of the family's 1533-position model. The record is from RNAcentral.
AACGAACGCUGGCGGCAGGCCUAACACAUGCAAGUCGAGCGAGCAUUUCGGUGCUAGCGGCGGACGGGUGAGUAACGCGUGGGAACGUGCCCUUUUCUGCGGAAUAGUCCUGGGAAACUGGGGGUAAUACCGCAUACGCCCUUUUGGGGAAAGAUUUAUCGGGGAAGGAUCGGCCCGCGUUGGUUUAGGUAGUUUGUGGGGUAAUGGCCCACCAAGCCGACGAUCCAUAGCUGGUUUGAGAGGAUGAUCAGCCACACUGGGACUGAGACACGGCCCAGACUCCUACGGGAGGCAGCAGUGGGGAAUCUUAGACAAUGGGGGAAACCCUGAUCAAGCCAUGCCGCGUGAGUGAUGAAGGCCUUAGGGUUGUAAAGCUCUUUCAGCUGGGAAGAUAAUGACGGUACCAGCAGAAGAAGCCCCGGCUAACUCCGUG